This 119-nucleotide ribosomal RNA is filed under the name Pteropus alecto (black flying fox). Lineage: Eukaryota; Metazoa; Chordata; Mammalia; Chiroptera; Pteropodidae. The record is from RNAcentral.
GUCUGUGGCCAUGCCACCCUGAACACGCCCGGUCUCAUCCGACCUCAGAAGCUAAGCAGGGUCGGGCCUGGUUAGUACUUGGAUGGGAGACCACCUAGGAAGACCGGGUGCUGUAGGCG